UACGUAGGGUGCGAGCGUUAAUCGGAAUUACUGGGCGUAAAGCGUGCGCAGGCGGUUUUGUAAGCCAGAUGUGAAAUCCCCGGGCUUAACCUGGGAACUGCAUUUUAGACUGUAUGACUGGAGUACUGUAGAGGAUAGUGGAAUUUCCGGUGUAGCGGUGAAAUGCGUAGAGAUCGGAAGGAACACCAGUGGCGAAGGCGGCCAUCUGGACCAGCACUGACACUGAGGCACGAAAGCGUGGGGAGCAAACAGG
This 253-nucleotide ribosomal RNA is filed under the name uncultured bacterium. Its description in RNAcentral is "partial 16S ribosomal RNA". It matches the Rfam family "Bacterial small subunit ribosomal RNA", at positions 524 to 776 of the family's 1533-position model. The record is from RNAcentral.